CCUUUCGUAAUUUUAGAUUAUCCUGAGUGGCCCCGCAUUCGUCUCCAGCGCACAAAGAAGUCUCAGCAUCCUUCCUACCUCUGCAUAGUCUGAUGAUAGCCGCCGGGUUAGUCCUGAGGUUUUAAGGGCUCAACCUAACACCCAGCAGACUAGAAGAAAGAUCUGGAACGCAAUGUUGGAAACACCUGCCGGAAAGAAUAAGCACUCACUUAUAUUAGAAGGAUGAAGAGGCAAUUAGAGGACCAGAUGGGGUUUCUGAUACACUUGGGAACAACAGAUGGUGACUCCAGCAGAUAUGUCCCUGCCACCCUCAUGGGAGACCUGAACCUGGGCUCAUCGUUUCAGCCAAGCCAAGCCCUGACUGUUGCAAGUAUUUGAAGAGUGAAGCAGUGGAUAAAAAU
This is a long non-coding RNA of Ochotona curzoniae (black-lipped pika), 401 nucleotides long. RefSeq lists it as uncharacterized. The transcript is spliced from 3 exons. The record is from RefSeq and is a predicted model, not a curated record. Lineage: Eukaryota; Metazoa; Chordata; Mammalia; Lagomorpha; Ochotonidae.